This 609-nucleotide ribosomal RNA is filed under the name Bacillus cereus. Its description in RNAcentral is "bacterial SSU rRNA". It matches the Rfam family "Bacterial small subunit ribosomal RNA", at positions 56 to 645 of the family's 1533-position model. Lineage: Bacteria; Bacillati; Bacillota; Bacilli; Caryophanales; Bacillaceae. The record is from RNAcentral.
UGCAAGUCGAGCGAAUGGAUUAAGAGCUUGCUCUUAUGAAGUUAGCGGCGGACGGGUGAGUAACACGUGGGUAACCUGCCCAUAAGACUGGGAUAACUCCGGGAAACCGGGGCUAAUACCGGAUAACAUUUUGAACUGCAUGGUUCGAAAUUGAAAGGCGGCUUCGGCUGUCACUUAUGGAUGGACCCGCGUCGCAUUAGCUAGUUGGUGAGGUAACGGCUCACCAAGGCAACGAUGCGUAGCCGACCUGAGAGGGUGAUCGGCCACACUGGGACUGAGACACGGCCCAGACUCCUACGGGAGGCAGCAGUAGGGAAUCUUCCGCAAUGGACGAAAGUCUGACGGAGCAACGCCGCGUGAGUGAUGAAGGCUUUCGGGUCGUAAAACUCUGUUGUUAGGGAAGAACAAGUGCUAGUUGAAUAAGCUGGCACCUUGACGGUACCUAACCAGAAAGCCACGGCUAACUACGUGCCAGCAGCCGCGGUAAUACGUAGGUGGCAAGCGUUAUCCGGAAUUAUUGGGCGUAAAGCGCGCGCAGGUGGUUUCUUAAGUCUGAUGUGAAAGCCCACGGCUCAACCGUGGAGGGUCAUUGGAAACUGGGAGACUUGA